UACGGAGGGGACUAGCGUUGUUCGGAAUUACUGGGCGUAAAGCGCACGUAGGCGGAUUUGUAAGUCAGGGGUGAAAGCCCAGGGCUCAACCCUGGAAUUGCCUUUGAUACUGACUGUCUUGAGUACGGGAGAGGUGUGUGGAACUCCGAGUGUAGAGGUGAAAUUCGUAGAUAUUCGGAAGAACACCAGUGGCGAAGGCGACACACUGGCCCGUUACUGACGCUGAGGCGCGAAAGCGUGGGGAGCAAACAGG
This 253-nucleotide ribosomal RNA is filed under the name uncultured bacterium. Its description in RNAcentral is "partial 16S ribosomal RNA". It matches the Rfam family "Bacterial small subunit ribosomal RNA", at positions 524 to 776 of the family's 1533-position model. The record is from RNAcentral.